This 490-nucleotide ribosomal RNA is filed under the name uncultured bacterium. RNAcentral describes it as "partial 16S ribosomal RNA". It matches the Rfam family "Bacterial small subunit ribosomal RNA", at positions 29 to 507 of the family's 1533-position model. The record is from RNAcentral.
AGUGAACGCUGGCGGUAGGCCUAACACAUGCAAGUCGAACGGCAGCACAGGAGAGCUUGCUCUCUGGGUGGCGAGUGGCGGACGGGUGAGGAAUACAUCGGAAUCUGCCCAGUCGUGGGGGAUAACGUAGGGAAACUUACGCUAAUACCGCAUACGACCUUCGGGUGAAAGAGGGGGAUCGCAAGACCUCUCGCGAUUGGAUGAGCCGAUGUCGGAUUAGCUAGUUGGCGGGGUAAUGGCCCACCAAGGCGACGAUCCGUAGCUGGUCUGAGAGGAUGAUCAGCCACACUGGAACUGAGACACGGUCCAGACUCCUACGGGAGGCAGCAGUGGGGAAUAUUGGACAAUGGGCGCAAGCCUGAUCCAGCCAUACCGCGUGGGUGAAGAAGGCCUUCGGGUUGUAAAGCCCUUUUGUUGGGUAAGAAAUCUUUCAGGCUAAUACCCUGGGAGGAUGACGGUACCCAAAGAAUAAGCACCGGCUAACUUCGUG